GACGAACGCUGGCGGCGUGCCUAAUACAUGCAAGUUGAGCGAUGAAGACUGGUGUUUGCGCCAAUUUGAAGAGCAGCGAACGGGUGAGUAACGCGUGGGGAAUCUGCCUUUGAGCGGGGGACAACAUUUGGAAACGAAUGCUAAUACCGCAUAACAACUUUACACAUAAGUUUUAAGUUUGAAAGAUGCUAUUGCAUCACUCAAAGAUGAUCCCGCGUUGUAUUAGCUAGUUGGUGAGGUAAAGGCUCAACAAGGCGAUGAUACAUAGCCGACCUGAGAGGGGGAUCGGCCACAUUGGGACUAGAACACGAUCCAAACUCCUACGGGAGGCAGCAGUAGGGAAUCUUCGGCAAUGGAAGAAAGUCUGACCGAGCAACGACGCGUGAGUGAAGAAGGUAUUCGGAUCGUAAAACUCUGUUGGUAGAGAAGAACGUAGGGGAGAGUGGAAAGCUCAUCAAGUGACGGUAACUACACAGAAAGGGACGGCUAACUACGUG
Molecule: ribosomal RNA, 497 nt
Filed under: uncultured bacterium
Lineage: Bacteria
Description: partial 16S ribosomal RNA
Rfam family: Bacterial small subunit ribosomal RNA
Source: RNAcentral